UACGUUGGUGGCAAGCGUUGUCCGGAUUUAUUGGGUUUAAAGGGUGCGUAGGCGGGUUUUUAAGUCAGUUGUGAAAUCUUGGAGCUUAACUCCGAAACUGCCAUUGAUACUAUGUAUCUUGAAUAUCGUUGAGGUUUGCGGAAUAUGUCAUGUAGCGGUGAAAUGCUUAGAUAUGACAUAGAACACCAAUUGCGAAGGCAGCAGGCUAAACGAACAUUGACGCUGAGGCACGAAAGCGUGGGGAUCAAACAGG
RNAcentral lists this ribosomal RNA (253 nucleotides) under uncultured bacterium. Its description in RNAcentral is "partial 16S ribosomal RNA". It matches the Rfam family "Bacterial small subunit ribosomal RNA", at positions 524 to 776 of the family's 1533-position model. The record is from RNAcentral.